Molecule: ribosomal RNA, 354 nt
Filed under: uncultured bacterium
Lineage: Bacteria
Description: partial 16S ribosomal RNA
Rfam family: Bacterial small subunit ribosomal RNA
Source: RNAcentral
CCUACGGGUGGCAGCAGUCGAGAAGCAUUCACAAUGGGGGAAACCCUGAUGGGGCGACGCCGCGUGGGGGAAUGAAGGUCUUCGGAUUGUAAACCCCUGUCAUGUGGGAGCAAAUGAAAAAGAUAGUACCACAAGAGGAAGAGACGGCUAACGCUGGGCCAGCAGCCGCGGUAAUACAGAGGUCGCAAGCGUUGUUCGGAACCACUGGGCGUAAAGCGUGCGGAGGCUGUUUCGUAAGUCGUGUGUGAAAGGCGCGGGCUCCACCCGCGGACGGCACCUGAUACGGCGAGACUAGAGUAAUGGCGGGGGCACCGUCCUUCUCGUUGUCGCCGUGCACUGCGUAGAUCUCGAGAG